UUCACGGAGAGUUUGAUCCUGGCUCAGGACGAACGCUGGCGGCGUGCUUAACACAUGCAAGUCGAACGAUGAACCACUUCGGUGGGGAUUAGUGGCGAACGGGUGAGUAACACGUGGGCAAUCUGCCCUGCACUCUGGGCCAAGCCCUGGAAACGGGGUCUAAUACCGGAUACAACCACUAGGGGCAUCUCUUGGUGGUGGAAAGCUCCGGCGGUGCAGGAUGACGCCCGCGGCCUAUCAGUCUUGUUGGUGAGGUA
RNAcentral lists this non-coding RNA (257 nucleotides) under Streptomyces afghaniensis 772. RNAcentral describes it as "Bacterial small subunit ribosomal RNA". It matches the Rfam family "Bacterial small subunit ribosomal RNA", at positions 1 to 259 of the family's 1533-position model. The record is from Rfam by way of RNAcentral. Lineage: Bacteria; Bacillati; Actinomycetota; Actinomycetes; Kitasatosporales; Streptomycetaceae.